UACGGAGGGUGCGAGCGUUGUCCGGAAUCACUGGGCGUAAAGGGCGCGUAGGUGGCGCGGGUAGUCAUCGGUGAAAGCUCAGGGCUCAACCCUGAGUCGGCCGGUGAUACUCCCGUGCUUGAGUGUGGUAGAGGCCAAUGGAAUUCCGGGUGUAGAGGUGAAAUUCGUAGAUAUUGGGAAGAACACCGGUGGCGAAGGCGGCGACCUGGUCCUUGACUGACGCUGAGGCGCGAAAGCGUGGGGAGCAAACAGG
Molecule: ribosomal RNA, 253 nt
Filed under: uncultured bacterium
Lineage: Bacteria
Description: partial 16S ribosomal RNA
Rfam family: Bacterial small subunit ribosomal RNA
Source: RNAcentral